UACGUAGGGGGCCAGCGUUGUCCGGAUUUAUUGGGCGUAAAGAGCUCGUAGGCGGUUUGUCGCGUCUGCUGUGAAAACUCGGGGCUUAACCCCGGGCCUGCAGUGGGUACGGGCAGACUAGAGUGCGGUAGGGGAGACUGGAAUUCCUGGUGUAGCGGUGAAAUGCGCAGAUAUCAGGAGGAACACCGGUGGCGAAGGCGGGUCUCUGGGCAGUAACUGACGCUGAGGAGCGAAAGCGUGGGGAGCGAACAGG
RNAcentral lists this ribosomal RNA (253 nucleotides) under uncultured bacterium. RNAcentral describes it as "partial 16S ribosomal RNA". It matches the Rfam family "Bacterial small subunit ribosomal RNA", at positions 524 to 776 of the family's 1533-position model. The record is from RNAcentral.